Non-coding RNA from Sciurus carolinensis (gray squirrel), 73 nucleotides. NCBI's taxonomy places the organism in Eukaryota, Metazoa, Chordata, Mammalia, Rodentia, Sciuridae. The record is from the annotation of a RefSeq genome assembly.
GGGGAUAUAGCUCAGUUGGUAGAGUUUUUGCCUCAUAAGGACAAGGCCCUGGGUUCAAUCCCCAGUACCGCCA